This 81-nucleotide small nucleolar RNA is filed under the name Amanita muscaria Koide BX008. Its description in RNAcentral is "Small nucleolar RNA R38". It matches the Rfam family "Small nucleolar RNA R38". From Rfam's summary of the family: snoR38 is a C/D box small nucleolar RNA conserved across yeast, human, Arabidopsis and rice. The record is from Rfam by way of RNAcentral. Lineage: Eukaryota; Fungi; Basidiomycota; Agaricomycetes; Agaricales; Amanitaceae.
AUCUUGUAAAGAUGAAAUAUCAUAAUUCAGUUAUCCCUGUCUGAAUGCAGAUUUGUGUCGAUUUUUUUUUUUGAUUCUGAU